This 496-nucleotide ribosomal RNA is filed under the name uncultured bacterium. Its description in RNAcentral is "partial 16S ribosomal RNA". It matches the Rfam family "Bacterial small subunit ribosomal RNA", at positions 29 to 507 of the family's 1533-position model. The record is from RNAcentral.
AUGAACGCUGGCGGCGUGCCUAAUACAUGCAAGUCGAGCGAACAGACGAGGAGCUUGCUCCUCUGACGUUAGCGGCGGACGGGUGAGUAACACGUGGAUAACCUACCUAUAAGACUGGGAUAACUUCGGGAAACCGGAGCUAAUACCGGAUAAUAUAUUGAACCGCAUGGUUCAAUAGUGAAAGACGGUUUUGCUGUCACUUAUAGAUGGAUCCGCGCCGCAUUAGCUAGUUGGUAAGGUAACGGCUUACCAAGGCAACGAUGCGUAGCCGACCUGAGAGGGUGAUCGGCCACACUGGAACUGAGACACGGUCCAGACUCCUACGGGAGGCAGCAGUAGGGAAUCUUCCGCAAUGGCCGAAAGCUUGACGGAGCAACGCCGCGUGAGUGAUGAAGGUCUUCGGAUCGUAAAACUCUGUUAUUAGGGAAGAACAAAUGUGUAAGUAACUAUGCACGUCUUGACGGUACCUAAUCAGAAAGCCACGGCUAACUACGUG